Molecule: long non-coding RNA, 314 nt
Filed under: Homo sapiens (human)
Lineage: Eukaryota; Metazoa; Chordata; Mammalia; Primates; Hominidae
Description: HSALNT0032091
Source: RNAcentral
CACAGACAUUCAGAUCAUGGCAGAACUGUCACAGAUGUUACUUUGUGAAAACACAAAGAAUAAUGUGUUUGGAGAGAUCAGUCUUCAAUUAGCUAUAUUUUCUAGGAGCCUACCUUUACUUAGCCUCACAACAUGGGCCUUAGCUUUAGCACUUAAUCUGCACAAAUACCUGGCUUAAGUGUUAUGACUGACUGGCUAUUCAACCAAACCAUACAAAUGACCAAUUCGGUAAGAAAGCAUGAACUUCAGUGUUGAACCAAAUCAACCAACCUCCUCAAUCCAAAUGGACCUCUAUCUUCUUCCUUCAAUUAAAG